UGGGGGAUGGUGUAAUGGUAGCACGACAGGCUCUGGACCUGUCUGUCUAGGUUCGAAUCCUAGUCCCCCAGCCA
RNAcentral lists this transfer RNA (74 nucleotides) under Candidatus Omnitrophota bacterium. RNAcentral's name for it is "tRNA-Gln". It matches the Rfam family "tRNA". From Rfam's summary of the family: Transfer RNA (tRNA) molecules are approximately 80 nucleotides in length. Their secondary structure includes four short double-helical elements and three loops (D, anti-codon, and T loops). Lineage: Bacteria; Pseudomonadati; Candidatus Omnitrophota. The record is from RNAcentral.